This 391-nucleotide ribosomal RNA is filed under the name uncultured bacterium. RNAcentral's name for it is "bacterial SSU rRNA". It matches the Rfam family "Bacterial small subunit ribosomal RNA", at positions 28 to 420 of the family's 1533-position model. The record is from RNAcentral.
GACGAACGCUGGCGGCGUGCUUAACACAUGCAAGUCGAGCGGUAAGGCCCUUUCGGGGGUACACGAGCGGCGAACGGGUGAGUAACACGUGGGUGACCUGCCCUCAGCUCUGGGAUAAGCCUGGGAAACCGGGUCUAAUACUGGAUAUGACUCCAUGACGCAUGUUGUGGGGUGGAAAGCCUUGUGCGGCUGAGGAUGGGCCCGCGGCCUAUCAGCUUGUUGGUGGGGUGANGGCCUACCAAGGCGACGACGGGUAGCCGGCCUGAGAGGGCGACCGGCCACACUGGGACUGAGACACGGCCCAGACCCCUACGGGAGGCAGCAGUGGGGAAUCUUGCGCAAUGGGCGAAAGCCUGACGCAGCGACGCCGCGUGAGGGAUGACGGCCUGGU